AAAACAUAUAAUCCGAGAAAUCAUAUAACCUCAAAAAAAAAAAACAGAAAGGCGAGAAAAAAAGAGAGAAAAGGUCGUGGGUUUCAUCCUCUCUGGCGGCCUCCACGGCGCUGUGAGAGGAGUGUAUAGCUCUAGGGUUUCCUUGUUUGCUGUGUGCAGUUUCUUCCGGACAAGUGUUUUACCAUCGUGAUUUAAGGUGAGGAGGGGUGAAAAGAUUUGUUUUGAGCGCCGGUGAUAUCUCUUGUGGUCUUCAGAGUCGAUUUGGAGUCUUGGUUCAGAUCUAGUACGGCGAGGUUGUGAUUUGGAGCUCUGGUCCCCUUCGAUUCAGAUCUGGGUUUGUUACCUAGGGUUUGGUCGUUUUGGUACUGUAGUAGUUUUUGGCUGCUGAUUUGAUCUUUUGACUUUCUUUUCGUUGUCUUCAUCUCUUGUUCCUAUUUCGUUGGAGGUCUAUAGUGAUGGCUUGUCCUUUUUUUCUUGUUGGCUUGGUAGUUCGUUUGAGCCUUGUUGGUUUAGGAUUUGGGUGGGUUGUCUCUGUUAUGAGCAUGGGUUCGAUGGCAAGACGGAGCUUGGACUUCAGGUGCAGUCUCCUUUUCCUAUUGUGGUAGUAGCAGUUUUCUCUUGCCGGUCCAGGUGUAAAGGAGCCUAAAAAAAUGUGUUCCAGCCGUAUUGAGAGUUAUGUGGAGCGUGAAGCGCUCAGGCUUUUCGGGUUGUGAAGUCCUGGUUUUAGGUUUCUAGUUGGGGAUGGUAUCGUUUGGCCGGCUGUAAGCGGCAGCGAUAGAUCCGAGAUGAGAAGACUUGGUGUCUUCGGUUCUAGAGGUGGAAGGUAUCGUACGGCGGGCUAAGGGCAGCUACGAUAUAUCCAGAUCAUUGAUAUCUAUUACGUGGGAACAUUGGUUAUGCUGAAUCGUCUUUUAACUUUGUGUAGCUCGUUUUUGUUGGUUAUGUUUUAGUUGCGGUUCCUAGCUUAGGUUUCGUUCCGUGUUUAUGUUGUAUUUAAAAGUUGUUCCAGUGUGGGUUCUAACUGUCUUUCUUUGGGUUUUUGUUUCUGAGAAUUUUAUGAUAUCCGCCAGCAUCGCUAGCAAAACUUGUGUUCUAACGUUUAAUGAAUAUCAUCAAUUCAGAGGGAAAAAA
Molecule: long non-coding RNA, 1131 nt
Organism: Brassica oleracea var. oleracea
Lineage: Eukaryota; Viridiplantae; Streptophyta; Magnoliopsida; Brassicales; Brassicaceae
Exons: 2
Source: RefSeq, a predicted model, not a curated record